UGGAUCCAGACUUUGAUCAUGGCUCAGGAUGAACGCUAGCUACAGGCUUAACACAUGCAAGUCGAGGGGAAACGACAUCGAAAGCUUGCUUUUGAUGGGCGUCGACCGGCGCACGGGUGAGUAACGCGUAUCCAACCUGCCCACCACUUGGGGAUAACCUUGCGAAAGUAAGACUAAUACCCAAUGAUAUCUCUAGAAGACAUCUGAAAGAGAUUAAAGAUUUAUCGGUGAUGGAUGGGGAUGCGUCUGAUUAGCUUGUUGGCGGGGUAACGGGCCACCAAGGCGACGAUCAGUAGGGGUUCUGAGAGGAAGGUCCCCCACAUUGGAACUGAGACACGGUCCAAACUCCUACGGGAGGCAGCAGUGAGGAAUAUUGGUCAAUGGGCGAGAGUCUGAACCAGCCAAGUAGCGUGCAGGAUGACGGCCCUAUGGGUUGUAAACUGCUUUUAUAAGGGAAUAAAGUGAGUCUCGUGAGAUUUUUUGCAUGUACCUUAUGAAUAAGGACCGGCUAAUUCCGUGCCAGCAGCCGCGGUAAUACGGAAGGUCCGGGCGUUAUCCGGAUUUAUUGGGUUUAAAGGGAGCGUAGGCCGGAGAUUAAGCGUGUUGUGAAAUGUAGACGCUCAACGUCUGCACUGCAGCGCGAACUGGUUUCCUUGAGUACGCACAAAGUGGGCGGAAUUCGUGGUGUAGCGGUGAAAUGCUUAGAUAUCACGAAGAACUCCGAUUGCGAAGGCAGCUCACUGGAGCGCAACUGACGCUGAAGCUCGAAAGUGCGGGUAUCGAACAGGAUUAGAUACCCUGGUAGUCCGCACGGUAAACGAUGGAUGCCCGCUGUUGGUCUGAAUAGGUUAGCGGCCAAGCGAAAGCAUUAAGCAUCCCACCUGGGGAGUACGCCGGCAACGGUGCAACUCAAAGGAAUUGACGGA
This 926-nucleotide ribosomal RNA is filed under the name uncultured Bacteroidota bacterium. Its description in RNAcentral is "bacterial SSU rRNA". It matches the Rfam family "Bacterial small subunit ribosomal RNA", at positions 1 to 917 of the family's 1533-position model. Lineage: Bacteria; Pseudomonadati; Bacteroidota. The record is from RNAcentral.